Triticum aestivum (bread wheat) is the source of this 918-nucleotide long non-coding RNA. RefSeq lists it as uncharacterized. The record is from RefSeq and is a predicted model, not a curated record. Lineage: Eukaryota; Viridiplantae; Streptophyta; Magnoliopsida; Poales; Poaceae. The transcript is spliced from 4 exons.
AUUCGAUUCACGGAGAGGAGCGAAGCGACGAGGCGUCUCUUCGUCUGUUCCUGUGUGGCACUGGUGGCCCUCGCCACGGCAGAUCCUUUUCAAGAUUCAGGAGGGUAGGAGCAGGCGAGCAGCCGAGCACGAAGGCAUACGGCAGGAACGACCGAACAACAGCCGGCAGGGAGGAAAGUCCUGGCCAAUCUCCCGAUCUCCGAGUUUUUAAGCGUCGUCUCGUCAAUAACUAGUGAUCUUGGUUUUUUGUUUUCAGUUGCUGUUCUUUGGGAGUCAUGAGGAUCUUCCUAUAUUCAAGUUUGAGAACCUGACAAGCUUUUCUCUGGAUGGGUGCCGUAUCAACGACGACUUCCUCGGGCUGCGCAAAUACCUGUACAACUCGCCUAACCUGCAGAAGCUCACUUUGCGACAUUGCAAGGUCUCGGAUUUCCAAUCUACAAAGGAGGUGAUGAAAUGCCGCCAAUCAUAUUCCAAGGGCAUGGCGCGUUUCAAGUGCAACAACCUUAGGCUUACUGAAACCAUACACCGAGAUGGUGAUGCUUCUGUCGAUCCGUUUGUCAAGUUUUUCAGGGGCGUGCGGAGGAAUCUGCCAAACAACAAGAUCAAACUCAUUCCGCUCAAGAAGAAGAAAUAAAAGACUGAACUCGCUAUAGUCGAUUAGCGGAAGCGUAUGGCAAUACACUAGGUUUCCUAUCAUUUGCUGAUUUCAGGAAACUAGGUUGCACAUGUGUCAUCAUUUUUACCUUUUUAAUAAAUUCAUCAUGAGUCCUUGGCUUUAAUUGUGUCGGAUGGUUGAGAUCGUUUGGAUUUCAGCAACUCGUAACUUUUAUACUAGUGUAGACUAGGUUCUUGGUUGAAGUGGAAGUGUCACGAUCCCCUCGUCUAUAUAUAUGGAUUUAUUUUUCAUUUGGGAUGGCA